AACGCACAUUGCGCCCCCUGGCAUUCCGGGGGGCAUGCCUGUCCGAGCGUCAUUUCUGCCCUCAAGCACGGCUUGUGUGUUGGGUGUGGUCCCCCUGGGGACCUGCCCCAAAGGCAGCGGCGACGUCGCGUCUGGUCCUCGAGCGUAUGGGGCUUUGUCACCCGCUUGGGAAGGGCCUGCGGGCGUCGGUCAACCCCCAAUCUUCCACGGUUGACCUCGGAUCAGGUAGGAGUUACCCGCUGAACUUAA
RNAcentral lists this unclassified non-coding RNA (249 nucleotides) under uncultured Eurotiales. Its description in RNAcentral is "sequence contains ITS2". The record is from RNAcentral. Lineage: Eukaryota; Fungi; Ascomycota; Eurotiomycetes; Eurotiales.